Molecule: ribosomal RNA, 21 nt
Filed under: Serjania marginata
Lineage: Eukaryota; Viridiplantae; Streptophyta; Magnoliopsida; Sapindales; Sapindaceae
Description: partial 26S ribosomal RNA
Source: RNAcentral
UCGCAUACCGACCGCGACCCC